This 288-nucleotide ribosomal RNA is filed under the name uncultured bacterium. RNAcentral's name for it is "partial 16S ribosomal RNA". It matches the Rfam family "Bacterial small subunit ribosomal RNA", at positions 335 to 615 of the family's 1533-position model. The record is from RNAcentral.
GUGCCUACGGGAGGCAGCAGUGGGGAAUAUUGCGCAAUGGGCGAAAGCCUGACGCAGCGACGCCGCGUGAGGGAUGAAGGUCUUCGGAUCGUAAACCUCUGUCAGCAGGGAAGAACGGUCACUGUGCUAAUCAGCAGUGAAUUGACGGUACCUGCACAGGAAGCACCGGCUAACUCCGUGCCAGCAGCCGCGGUAAUACGUAGGUGGCAAGCGUUAUCCGGAUUUAUUGGGCGUAAAGGGCGUGUAGGCGGGAGCGCCAGUCCGAUGUGAAAACUCAGGGCUCAACCC